UCAAACUUGGUCAUUUAGAGGAAGUAAAAGUCGUAACAAGGUUUCCGUAGGUGAACCUGCGGAAGGAUCAUUAAAAAAUCUCUUGAGCCGCAAGGCUCUAUUAUCUUGUGAAACGCUUGUUGUUGCUGCUGCUUACGGUACCAGGGGGAGGUGAAUAGGCGGCUUAUCAGGCGAAGUGCGCUGCUGUUGUUGCGCGGCUCUCGUCCUGCAGGUUUGCCUGCCUCUCUUUCUUACCGUGCAGCAAUGAUGACUCUAUAUUUAAACAUGUGUUUUUGAUGUUGAGGAAUGUAUGCAUCUUAAUGUAUAUAUACAACUUUCAACAGUGGAUCUCUCGGCUCUUGCAUCGAUGAAGAACGCAGC
RNAcentral lists this unclassified non-coding RNA (360 nucleotides) under uncultured fungus. Its description in RNAcentral is "partial contains small subunit ribosomal RNA, internal transcribed spacer 1, and 5.8S ribosomal RNA". The stretch from base 1 to 73 matches the Rfam family "Eukaryotic small subunit ribosomal RNA", at positions 1759 to 1831 of the family's 1831-position model. Lineage: Eukaryota; Fungi. The record is from RNAcentral.